ACAAAUUGAGCGUAAUCCCUUGCCGGGUAAGUUCCGGCCCGCAUGAAUGGCCUAACGAGUUGAAGACUGUCUCAACGAGGCGCCCGGUGAAAAUGCAAUACCAGUGAAGAUGCUGGUUACCUGCGGCUAGACGGAAAGACCCCGGAAGCU
This 150-nucleotide ribosomal RNA is filed under the name Candidatus Staskawiczbacteria bacterium RIFCSPLOWO2_01_FULL_40_39. RNAcentral's name for it is "partial 23S ribosomal RNA". It matches the Rfam family "Bacterial large subunit ribosomal RNA", at positions 1949 to 2100 of the family's 2925-position model. The record is from RNAcentral. Lineage: Bacteria; Candidatus Staskawicziibacteriota.